Molecule: ribosomal RNA, 468 nt
Filed under: uncultured bacterium
Lineage: Bacteria
Description: partial 16S ribosomal RNA
Rfam family: Bacterial small subunit ribosomal RNA
Source: RNAcentral
GAUGAACGCUGGCGGCGUGCUUAACACAUGCAAGCCGAACGGAAAGGCCCAAGCUUGCUUGGGUACUCGAGUGGCGAACGGGUGAGUAACACGUGGGUGAUCUGCCCUGCACUUCGGGAUAAGCCUGGGAAACUGGGUCUAAUACCGGAUAGGACGAUGGUUUGGAUGCCAUUGUGGAAAGUUUUUUCGGUGUGGGAUGAGCUCGCGGCCUAUCAGCUUGUUGGUGGGGUAAUGGCCUACCAAGGCGUCGACGGGUAGCUGGCCUGAGAGGGUGUACGGCCACAUUGGGACUGAGAUACGGCCCAGACUCCUACGGGAGGCAGCAGUGGGGAAUAUUGCACAAUGGGCGCAAGCCUGAUGCAGCGACGCCGCGUGGGGGAUGACGGCCUUCGGGUUGUAAACUCCUUUCGCUAGGGACGAAGCGUUUUUGUGACGGUACCUGGAGAAGAAGCGCCGGCUAACUACGUG